Molecule: long non-coding RNA, 1017 nt
Organism: Pan troglodytes (chimpanzee)
Lineage: Eukaryota; Metazoa; Chordata; Mammalia; Primates; Hominidae
Exons: 4
Source: RefSeq, a predicted model, not a curated record
GCCUCAGACCCCGGAGUAGCCGGGACUACAGGCGCCUGUGCAAUCUCUAUGGUAACCACAUUUCCCAGCUGUCUACUACCGGUAAUAAAAUCAAAUGGAUUCAGUGCUCACAACUCUUCAGUCUUCGGGCUACUUUCCAUUCUUGAGUUUUUAGCUGAAUUCAUCUCUUUGGCUGGAUUUUAUGAAUCGGGCAGCCGUUAGAACCAAAACAGUUCUGAGGAACUCCCAGGCUGCAGUGUGGUGUGAAAUGUUUUAUGGACAGAAAAUGGAAAUGAGGUGCAGAAACUGGAGGGCAGAGAGUUAUAUUUUUCAUCUUCAUGUUGAGUAGAAAAUCCAUGAAAAUCUAAUACCCAGUUAUCACUCAAGUGUGACAAAUAGAAAGGAGCUUCAGAAUAGGAUCUUCAGUUCUACCAAAUGUCUCUGCCUAAUUACAUCAAUAUCCAUGUUGAUGAAAUUUCAGUCUUUAUUCAAGAUCAAGUGCAACUGUCUCUUUGAGGAAAGUCCUUUGACCCCCAUUUCUCCCCUUCAGAAGGCAAGCACCUGGGGGAGAAGAUCUGCUUAAGGACCUCGUAACUGACAAAGAAUGGAAUGGGAGCGAGAACUGCCUAGCCAUCCCUUCUCCUUGCACAGUCAUGAAACAAAGUUGAAAAGGAGCCUGGUUUUACUUGACCAGUCAUAAAUUACCAUAAAAUAAAAUGAGAUAUUAGGAACCUUUGAUCUCUGAAAAAGUAAUAUGUGUUGAAAAGAAAUAUCACUGUUACAUAUAGACAAAUAAUAUAAAUAUUUGAGGCAUGCAUUUAAAAUGUAGAGGCCACUUAUAGCAGGCAUAUUAACAUGUGCAUUUGCUUUUUAAGAAGUAUACACACGUGUACCUUUAGCUUUGAAAGGGUAAGAUUCAAUGCUUGGGAGAUGGAUGCACUAAAGUCUCAGAAGCCACCACUAAAGGACUUAUCCACGUAACCGAAAACAACCUGUACUCCAAAAUCAAUGAAAUAAAAUAAAAAGCAAAAUAAAAAG